RNAcentral lists this ribosomal RNA (492 nucleotides) under uncultured bacterium. RNAcentral's name for it is "partial 16S ribosomal RNA". It matches the Rfam family "Bacterial small subunit ribosomal RNA", at positions 29 to 507 of the family's 1533-position model. The record is from RNAcentral.
AGUGAACGCUGGCGGUAGGCCUAACACAUGCAAGUCGAACGGCAGCACAGUAAGAGCUUGCUCUUACGGGUGGCGAGUGGCGGACGGGCGAGGAAUACAUCGGAAUCUACUUUUUCGUGGGGGAUAACGUAGGGAAACUUACGCUAAUACCGCAUACGACCUACGGGUGAAAUCAGGGGAUCUUCGGACCUUGCGCGAUUGAAUGAGCCGAUGUCGGAUUAGCUAGUUGGCGGGGUAAAGGCCCACCAAGGCGACGAUCCGUAGCUGGUCUGAGAGGAUGAUCAGCCACACUGGAACUGAGACACGGUCCAGACUCCUACGGGAGGCAGCAGUGGGGAAUAUUGGACAAUGGGCGCAAGCCUGAUCCAGCCAUACCGCGUGGGUGAAGAAGGCCUUCGGGUUGUAAAGCCCUUUUGUUGGGAAAGAAAAGCAGCAGGUUAAUACCCCGCUGUUCUGACGGUACCCAAAGAAUAAGCACCGGCUAACUUCGUG